UUCACGAAAAACAGACAACCUUCUGGAUGCUGUUGUCAUAUUGUGAUGAGGCUCUGUCUGUUUGGCAAUACAACGACACUCCAGAUGUACAUUUCCCUAAAUUAAAACCAUCUAUUUACAGACAUACAAAGGGAAAAUAAACCUCACUCGGCUGCAGACUUCUUAGUAGCUACUCUCUCCUUUGAUAGGACCCGGGCUCCCCUCUCUGUUUAUGGCUGACAAUAAGGCGCAGUUGGCGGAGUGGCUGCCUCCACAGUCCUGAGGAGCGUGAGGCGGAGGCCGUCCCAGAGCACACGGGACUUUUCCUUCUCCUUGUUCUUCCCUGUGCUUUGGCCCUUGCAGAGCACCCUAUGAACAAGGAGCAGACCCCUUUUCCUCACAUCACUUGCAAUAGGGGCAAGUCUUCAGUAUUACGAGAAGCCCGAACCCAACAUUUCUUAUCAUCCCCCUCUGAGAUGAAUAAAUCAAGGCACAGAGAAGUUACGGGACUUGGCCAAGGAGAGAUACAGGUGGUGGAACAGAGAUUCAAACUCAGAUGUGUAUAUAGCGUGUGUGCCAGGAGCAAUUCUAAGAGCGUGAUUCUCCCAAGGACCCGAAGAGGUAGUUAUUGCUAUUAUCUACCUUGUAUAAAUAAGGAAAGAGAAGCCCACAGCUCAGUACUAACUGGUGGAGUGCAUCCCUCUAUGACCUUGGUGUAGAAGACUGUUAUAAAGCCUUACGGAUCCCAAAUAUAUCACAGCUGACUUCAUUAUGGUUUUCAAAUUAUUUAGUAAAUUGCUUCAGUUUUAUUACCUCUGUAAAAUUUGCCUUACUGUAACUACAAUAAAGUCUUGGCCUCCUUUCCCUGUUCUAAUUCUAAUUCCUUUCAGUUAUGUGUACUCUAUUUCCUAUGAAUCAGACUGAGAGAACCAGAAAAUCCACCACUAUUCAGAGAGUGCCA
Molecule: long non-coding RNA, 940 nt
Filed under: Equus caballus (horse)
Lineage: Eukaryota; Metazoa; Chordata; Mammalia; Perissodactyla; Equidae
Description: lncRNA (ENSECAG00000052960.1)
Source: RNAcentral